RNAcentral lists this long non-coding RNA (397 nucleotides) under Linum usitatissimum (flax). RNAcentral describes it as "long non-coding RNA (LUSI_LNC004436)". The record is from RNAcentral. Lineage: Eukaryota; Viridiplantae; Streptophyta; Magnoliopsida; Malpighiales; Linaceae.
UGAUUUGUAUUGAUGAAUAUGAUACAUUAUAUUAUAUACAUACACCGAAGGAUGAUUUGGUGGAUCAAAUUAAAUUGGGUAAUUACAAAAGAGCAUGAUUUGGGGAGAGGUUAUAGAUAAUUUAGAGAUAUAGCUAUUUACAGACUUUGAUCGCCUCUGUAUGCUUGAUUUUCUCUAUUAAAAUUUAUAUUUUUUAAGUUUAAAUAUAUCCAAUAAAUAUUUGUUUUAUUAUUUUUAGUUAGAACAAGCUUCGAGUCUUCGGGCCUUUCCUGCUCCUCCUGUCACGAGGACUCCAAAUCUUCCUUCUCCUCUCUGUAAUCGUGAACAGGAACCGCGAUGGUCCGACGAGAUUAUGCAGCCACAUUAGCUCCGGUUCCACGCUCUGCUCCGUUUCUCC